CUCUUAUCCCAACUUAAAUAGAACAAAAAACAGAUAAUGGUGAUGUUAUUCCUCCAUCGAAUUAAUCGUAAACAUUUUAGCACAGAUGUUAAUUUAUUGAACUUAUUAAGAAAAAAGGCAAUUCUUUUUGAAAAUGUGAAACGUGAAAAUUGUCGAAAAGACUUAAUUUUAAAUUAUUUUAAUAUUAAAGGAAUAAAAAUAAAAAACAAUGAUAUACAUAUUAUGACAAACAUUUUAUGUAGACCUACAGGAAGAAUAAUGGUUUUAAUAGAUGAUAUAAAAAAACAAAAUUUUAAUUUUGAUUUUGAUAAUAUGAAUGAAGAACAUGAUACAAUUGAUACAUCUAAUGACAUAACAGAAAAUUUAUAUAAAAAAAAUAUUACUAAAAGUAAUUAUAAUAAUAGUAAUGAUAAUUAUGAUAAAUUUCAAAAUGGUUCUACUUCGACAGUUGAAAAUGGUGUAUCUGAUACGAAACAAACUCAAAAAGAAAAUAGGAAUUUAAAUGGGGAUUCAAAUACAAACCCAAAUCCAAAUGCACAUACAAAUACAAAUCCCAAUACAAACCCAAACCCAAACCCAAACGACGAAGAAAGUAAUCAAAAAGUUGAUAAACUACAUGACCAAUCGAAUGAUAACAUAGUGUUAAACCAUAUAUAUAAUAAUCCCAAUCUGAAAAAUUUAUUCAAUAAUUGUAAAUUCCAUAUAUGUGAUAAUUAUGAAAUUGAAAGGUAUGUUGAAGAAUGCGAAAGAUUUAUACGAUUCAGUGAAGAUAUAAAAAGAAUAUCCAAAUUUGAAAAUUUACACAAAAUUGUCACCAUAAUAAAUAUUCCCAACUGCUAUGGUAGAAAAGAAUUAUCACAUGUUAUUUAUGAAUGUGCUGGAAUAAAAGUAGAAAAAAAAAAUAUUAUUUUUAGAUUUAAAAAAAAUGGAAUUCAAAGUGAUUGUGCUUAUGUCUUAUGUAAUAAUACAAAUGAUGCUAAUGUUUUAAUUCAUAAAAUGCAAGAAUAUCCUAUAGCAAAAAAAUAUCAUUUAAAAGAAUUUUAUGGCACAGCUUUUUUAUAUGCAUCUAAAAAUAAUUUAUUUAUUAGUUCUGACAAAUUAGAUUAUAGUAUUUUUUUUUCUAAAUAUUUAAUAUUUACAUGUGGGUGGUAUAAAGAUAUAUCAAUAAAAGAAUUUGAAAGUUUUUUAAUAACAUUAAAAAUUUUUCCAAAAAAAAUUAUUAAAAUUAAUUAUAAUAAAAUAAAUCAAAAAGAAAAUGAACAUAAACAAAAUACUGAGUCAGAAGAUAUACCGGAAGUAUUUAACUCAGAACAAAAGAGGGACAUAAUCGAUACAAAUACAAAAAAGGAUUUAACAGAAAGUGAUCAGUCGAAUAACAAAUUAGUUUUAUCAGAAAAUAACCCAAAUCACAUUUUAAUAAAUAUCAACGAGCCUAGUUCCGACAAAGAAAAUAGCCACAUUACAACAAACGAUACUAAUGAUUUAAAUACAUCAUCUUUUGUUUUAUUUUUUGAAAACAUGAGAAUGGUUAAGAAAGUAUUUACAAAAUUAGAUAGACUAAAAAAAAAGUGGAAAAUUGCAACUACUAGCAACUUUUACGCAUAUCCAAAGAUAGUAAGUAUUAAAAUGAGACGAUAAAAAUAUAAACCAUAAAAAACGAAAUUGCAUGUUGUAUGUU
Molecule: long non-coding RNA, 1678 nt
Filed under: Piliocolobus tephrosceles (Ugandan red Colobus)
Lineage: Eukaryota; Metazoa; Chordata; Mammalia; Primates; Cercopithecidae
Description: lncRNA (ENSPTEG00000015998.1)
Source: RNAcentral